UGGGGAAUUUGGACAAUGGGCGAAAGCCUGAUCCAGCAAUGCCGCGUGUGUGAAGAAGGCCUUCGGGUUGUAAAGCACUUUUGUCCGGAAAGAAAUCCUUGGCUCUAAUACAGUCGGGGGAUGACGGUACCGGAAGAAUAAGCACCGGCUAACUACGUGCCAGCAGCCGCGGUAAUACGUAGGGUGCAAGCGUUAAUCGGAAUUACUGGGCGUAAAGCGUGCGCAGGCGGUUUGCUAAGACCGAUGUGAAAUCCCCGGGCUCAACCUGGGAACUGCAUUGGUGACUGGCAGGCUAGAGUAUGGCAGAGGGGGUAGAAUUCCACGUGUAGCAGUGAAAUGCGUAGAGAUGUGGAGGAAUACCGAUGGCGAAGGCAGCCCCUGGCCAAUACUGACGCUCAUGCACGAAAGCGUGGGGAGCAAACAGGAUUAGAUACCCUGGUAGUCCACGCCCUAAACGAUGUCAACUAGUUGUUGGGGAUUCAUUCCUUAGUAACGUAGCUAACGCGUGAAGUUGACCGCCUGGGGAGUACGGUCGCAAGAUUAAAACUCAAAGGAAUUGACGGGGUCAUAGCUGUUUCCU
RNAcentral lists this ribosomal RNA (580 nucleotides) under uncultured bacterium. RNAcentral's name for it is "partial 16S ribosomal RNA". It matches the Rfam family "Bacterial small subunit ribosomal RNA", at positions 356 to 1375 of the family's 1533-position model. The record is from RNAcentral.